UGGCUCAGAGGUUAAAGCAUCUGCCUCCAAUGUGGAAGACCAGGGUUCGAUCCCUG
Molecule: transfer RNA, 56 nt
Filed under: Bos taurus (domestic cattle)
Lineage: Eukaryota; Metazoa; Chordata; Mammalia; Artiodactyla; Bovidae
Also listed under: 2 other names
Source: Rfam by way of RNAcentral